UGGGGAAUCUUGCGCAAUGGGCGAAAGCCUGACGCAGCGACGCCGCGUGCGGGAGGAAGGCCUUCGGGUUGUAAACCGCUUUCAGGGGGGACGAAGCCACUCGGGUGAAUAGCCCAGAGGGUGACGGUACCCCCAGAAGAAGCCCCGGCUAACUACGUGCCAGCAGCCGCGGUAAUACGUAGGGGGCCAGCGUUGUCCGGAUUCAUUGGGCGUAAAGAGCGUGUAGGCGGUUCAAUAGGUCCGAUGUGAAAACUCGAGGCUCAACCUCGAGAGGUCGUCGGAAACCAUUGAGCUAGAGUCCGGAAGAGGAGAGUGGAAUUCCUGGUGUAGCGGUGAAAUGCGCAGAUAUCAGGAAGAACACCGAUGGCGAAGGCAGCUCUCUGGGACGGUACUGACGCUGAGACGCGAAAGCGUGGGGAGCGAACAGGAUUAGAUACCCCCGUAGUCC
Molecule: ribosomal RNA, 448 nt
Filed under: uncultured prokaryote
Description: bacterial SSU rRNA
Rfam family: Bacterial small subunit ribosomal RNA
Source: RNAcentral